AGAAGAAGAAGAAGAAGAAGAAGAAGAAGAAGCUAAGCUAAACCGCUAGCUGCUAAGCUAACGGGCUGCCUCCCUGCAAUCUGUGGGUAAAACGACACCUUUCAUUGCGGAUUAAUGAGCAGGUGACACCGCUACGAUGCCGUGGAGGUGCUGCGUCCCCGGAUGUAAAGGCUACGACGAGGCCAAGUCCAUGGGAGUCGUUUUUCACGGUCUACCGACCAGAGACCCGCAGCGCUGCCGGACAUGGCUGAAGGCGAUCCAGAACCCGCGGUUCGACGAGAACACCCCGGUGUCCAGGUACAGCGGAGUCCGAGUGUGCAGCCUGCACUUCACCGCCGAGGACUACGAGGAGGACUUUCGGGCUAAAAUACUCAACAUUGCGCCCAAACCGAUGCUGAAGGGGGGCGCGGUGCCGUCGGUGUUCCCCGGGAGACAGAGCGGUGAGCCCCGCCGCGCCGACACAUCAGCUCCGGCCCCGAAGAGACAGAGAGCUCCGGCGAGCAUUUCGGCUGCAGGCAGCUCCACACAGCCGCCUCCGGCAGCCGGCUCCGAGGAGAGCUUCUGCAUCGUGGUGUCGGUCGACCCUCAGGACGACAGCUUCCACUCAGAACCGGAGUUCAGCUCACUGAUGGCGCCUGACGAGUCGGACGAAGACGCCGACAGAGACUGCACAGUCGUUGACAGCCGUAGCCUGAUGGAGCUGUUCAGGAGGUGUCAGACGUGCGGGCAGCCCAUCGCCGGAAAAGAGGUUUUCCACUCUGGAGUUCAGAUGAGGGUGAAGUGGAGCUGCCACAGUGGGCACGCUGGUACCUGGAAGUCCUCACCUCGCCUGAGAGACACGCCUCCAUGAAGUCAGCCUGCUGCUCCUGUUUACGCUGGAUGAACACUUUCGCACUUCAAGGAGUAAGAAUCCAAGAAAAUCAUGAAGUCCUAUCAGCAGACGCAGGCUGACUGAUGAGCCGACGGCUGGAGGACACGUUGAAGAGCAUCUCGGCCGAUGGACACAGCUGGAGGGUGCAGGUGACCGAGGACUGUGUGAGCUGCUGGACUGAAUUAUGAAGACGGAUGUCCAGAACGCAGCAGAGGUCAGCGCGAGAGUUUCCCACUGAAGCAGCGCCGCACAGUCAGAAUACAUCUGUACACUGGAGGACUUUCAGCUUCCUCACAUCAAAGCUGAGAGUCAAGAGAGGAGGAAUGCUUGGCUGUCAAUCGAAUGCAGGGCUUACAACCAGGUGAUUUGAAGCUCUGACGUAAAGAUGGCCUACAAGCAGUGGUGGAUGACGUGUAAAAUCUUUGUCUUCUCAGUUCAGUGCAGAAAAAAAAUAUCCAACAAGUUGGUGAAGUUCAGACAAGAUUGAGACAAAAUUCAAAGAGCCAGCAGCCCUCCUCCGGCUCUGCACUGCGACUCUGAUCCCCGCUGAAGUUUGAAAA
Molecule: RNA transcript, 1431 nt
Organism: Stegastes partitus (bicolor damselfish)
Lineage: Eukaryota; Metazoa; Chordata; Actinopteri; Pomacentridae
Exons: 3
Source: RefSeq, a predicted model, not a curated record